CGUGUGUGUGUGUGUAUGUGUGUAUAUACAAACAUGCAAAUAUAUGUGUACAUGCACGCAUGCACACAUACACACACA
Molecule: microRNA precursor, 78 nt
Filed under: Podarcis lilfordi (Lilford's wall lizard)
Lineage: Eukaryota; Metazoa; Chordata; Lepidosauria; Squamata; Lacertidae
Source: RNAcentral